GACCUUGGUGAGUGGCGGACGGGUGAGUAACACGUGGGUAACCUGCCCAGAAGUGGGGGAUAACAUUUGGAAACAAGUGCUAAUACCGCAUAACAACAUUUAUCUCAUGAUUUAUGUUUAAAAGAUGGUUCUGCUAUCUCUUCUGGAUGGACCCGCGGCGUAUUAGCUAGUUGGUGAGGUAAUAGCUCACCAAGGCGAUGAUACGUAGCCGACCUGAGAGGGUAAUCGGCCACAUUGGGACUGAGACACGGCCCAAACUCCUACGGGAGGCAGCAGUAGGGAAUCUUCCACAAUGGACGAAAGUCUGAUGGAGCAACGCCGCGUGAGUGAAGAAGGUUUUCGGAUCGUAAAACUCUGUUGUUGAAGAAGAACAUAUGUGAGAGUAACUGUUCACGUACUGACGGUAUUCAACCAGAAAGCCACGGCUAACUACGUGCCAGCAGCCGCGGUAAUACGUAGGUGGCAAGCGUUGUCCGGAUUUAUUGGGC
RNAcentral lists this ribosomal RNA (488 nucleotides) under Companilactobacillus paralimentarius. Its description in RNAcentral is "bacterial SSU rRNA". It matches the Rfam family "Bacterial small subunit ribosomal RNA", at positions 84 to 559 of the family's 1533-position model. The record is from RNAcentral. Lineage: Bacteria; Bacillati; Bacillota; Bacilli; Lactobacillales; Lactobacillaceae.